AGAGCUUGCUUUUCUUGAUUAGUGGCGCACGGGUGAGUAAUGCAUAGAUAAUGUGCCCCUUAGUUCGGGAUAGCCACUGGAAACGGUGAUUAAUACCGGAUACUCCUUCUUGUUAUAAGACAAGUCGGGAAAGUUUUUCGCUAAGGGAUCAGUCUAUGUUCCAUCAGCUUGUUGGUGAGGUAAUGGCUCACCAAGGCUAUGACGGAUAUCUGGUUUGAGAGGAUGAUCAGACACACUGGAACUGAGACACGGUCCAGACUCCUACGGGAGGCAGCAGUGAGGAAUAUUGCACAAUGGAGGAAACUCUGAUGCAGCAACGCCGCGUGGAGGAUGACGCAUUUCGGUGUGUAAACUCCUUUUAUUAGGGAAGAUAAUGACGGUACCUAAUGAAUAAGCACCGGCUAACUCCGUGCCAGCAGCCGCGGUAAUACGGAGGGUGCAAGCGUUACUCGGAAUCACUGGGCGUAAAGGGUGCGUAGGCUGGCUUUUAAGUCAGAUGUGAAAUCCAAUGGCUCAACCAUUGAACUGCGUUUGAAACUGAAAGCCUAGAGUUCAGAAGGGGCAGAUGGAAUUAGUGGUGUAGGGGUAAAAUCCGUAGAUAUCACUAGGAAUAUCAAAAGCGAAGGCGAUCUGCUGGGAUGAUACUGACG
Molecule: ribosomal RNA, 650 nt
Filed under: uncultured bacterium
Lineage: Bacteria
Description: bacterial SSU rRNA
Rfam family: Bacterial small subunit ribosomal RNA
Source: RNAcentral